CCUACGGGUGGCUGCAGUGAGGAAUAUUGGUCAAUGGGCGCGAGCCUGAACCAGCCAAGUCGCGUGAGGGAUGAAGGUUCUAUGGAUCGUCAACCUCUUUUAUAAGGGAAUAAAGUGUGGGACGUGUCCUAUUUUGUAUGUACCUUAUGAAUAAGGAUCGGCUAACUACGUGCCAGCAGCCGCGGUAAUACGGAGGAUCCGAGCGUUAUCCGGAUUUAUUGGGUUUAAAGGGUGCGUAGGCGGCCUUUUAAGUCAGCGGUGAAAGUCUGUGGCUCAACCAUAGAAUUGCCGUUGAAACUGGGGGGCUGGAGUGUGUUAGAGGCAGGCGGAAUGCGUGGUGUAGCGGUGAAAUGCGUAGAUAUCACGCAGAACCCCGAUUGCGAAGGCAGCCUGCCAAGCCAUGACUGACGCUGAUGCACGAAAGCGUGGGGAUCAAACAGGAUUAGAUACCCGGGUAGUC
RNAcentral lists this ribosomal RNA (460 nucleotides) under uncultured bacterium. RNAcentral's name for it is "partial 16S ribosomal RNA". It matches the Rfam family "Bacterial small subunit ribosomal RNA", at positions 338 to 795 of the family's 1533-position model. The record is from RNAcentral.